Molecule: long non-coding RNA, 2169 nt
Organism: Scylla paramamosain (green mud crab)
Lineage: Eukaryota; Metazoa; Arthropoda; Malacostraca; Decapoda; Portunidae
Exons: 2
Source: RefSeq, a predicted model, not a curated record
GAAGAUGGGGAAAUAGACCAACUUUAAAAAAAAGAAAAAGGGCCCUCGUGGCCCAGUGGGUAGAGUGAUGCACUUUGAGUUUGGCGUGAGGGAAGUGAGGGGCGCGUAGGUUCGAACCCCCCUCUCGGAACUCACAAAAACCUUGAAAGAGCAUCCCUCCAUCACCAUGUGUGAUGGAACUGCCCACGGGGAGGAGGGGAGGUGAGUGCGCAGCACCUCCCUACCCCUCCCCAGGGGAGGAAGGCACCGCCUUACCGGCCCCCGGGAGAGCAAGGGAGGUGAGUGCACAGCGCUUCCCUUCUCUCCCCUACCUAACCCUGGCAAGUCUACGGACUACCAGGCAAAAAAUAAUAAAAAAUAAAAAAAAUAAAAAACGAAAAAGAAAAAAAAUAAUAAAUAAAUAAAGGUGAGUGCAUAGCACUUCCCUUCUCUUCCAACCUACCAGGCAAAAGAUAGAAAAAAAAAUAAUGAAUAAAGAAUUAAGGUGAGUGCAUAGCACUUCCCUUGUCUCCUAACCUACCACGCAAAAAAAAAAAAUAAAUAAAUAAAAUAAAUAAAUAAAGAUGAAUAAAUAAAUAAAUAAAAAUAAAUAAAAACCUCCUUACCACCUCGGACCUCGGGAGAGCAGGGGAGGUGAGUGCACAGCACUUCCCUUCUCUCCUAAAGUCUACGGACUGCCAGACUAAAAAGAAUAAAAUAUAUAUAGGUAUAAAAAAUAAUAAAAGUAAUAAAAAAAAGAUAAAUGAAAAAAUAAGUAAAUAAAACAAGAACAAUAAAACUCCUAGUCGCACUUCAAUAAAACUGACUGAGUCUGGCAAUGAACAAUAAAUAAUAAAAAUAAAACAAUACCAACUGACUGACCCUGACAACCCCAAAGACCACCACCCCACCUGGGAAGCACGGGAGGUGAGUGUGCAGCACCUCCCUACCCUUCCCAGUCUCCCAGUUUGACUUUGACCACCAAUCUGACUCAUCCUACCAACUCCAAAGAGCAACUCCAACUGUACAGACCACCACCACCACCACCCUUCUGAUCUCGGCAAGGUGAGUGCGUAGCACUUCCCUGGACUGACCCUGACUGACUGACCCUGGCAACUCCAAAAACAACCAACCUGACUGACUUACAGAUAUGUAAUCACCUAACUGACUGGCCCUGGGGAGCAUGGGAGGUGAGUGUGCAGCACCUCCCUACCCUUCCCAGUCUCCCAGUUUGACUUUGACCACCAAUCUGACUCAUCCUAGCAACUCUAACUGUACCGACCACCACCAGUACUCCCCACCCUGGCAACUGAUCCUGGCAAGGUGAGUGCGUAGCACUUCCCGUGACUCCUCCUGGCAGCUCCAAAGACCCACCAUCCUGACCGCCCCUGGGAAGCACGGGAGGUGAGUGUGCAGCACCUCCCUACCCUUCCCAGUCUCCCAGUUUGACUUUGACCACCAAUGUGACUCAUCCUACCAACUCCAAAUGUACACACCACCACCACCACCCCUCUGAUCUUGGCAAGGUGAGUGCGUAGCACUACCCUUGACUGACUGGGCCUGACUGACUGACCCCGGCAACUUCAAAAACAACCAACCAGACUGAUGUUACAAAUGUAACCUGGGGAGCAUGGGAGGUGAGUGUGCAGCACCUCCCUACCCUUCCCAGUCUUCCACCAACCUGACUUGAAUUAUGACUGGGGAGCAAGGGAGGUGAGUGUGCAGUACUCCUACUAUCCCCACUCUGAAUACCCUAUCACCAACCAAUUCAGACCACCAAACUGUCUUAGAAGAACAAGAACAGGAAGCAACGCCAUCAGAGGAAGAAGAAGCAGCAGCAGCAGCAUUACCGCCAUCAGAGGAAGAAAACAAGAAAAAGAAGCAAAGAAAAAGAAUUACCACCACUGUUAUCGGAGGAAGAAACAGCAGCGUCACCGCCAUCAGAGGAAGAAACAUAUAUAUGUAAACUACGACUGGUCAAACUUUCUGUGGCACCAGGCUAAGUUCGACCUGUGAUGGGCUGUGUUUAGAGAGGGAAAAAAAGUUCCAGGGGUUCAUGAAAGGAAAGUACACUAACAGGGGACUGACUGUGAAAGUGCCAGGCAAGGCUGCUGCUUCAGACAUCCACACUUCAACUUCAACUAUGCAUGCGAAAAUGUUGCUGUAUUCCUACUCCUAUUCCUUAUUUUU